Molecule: ribosomal RNA, 481 nt
Filed under: uncultured bacterium
Lineage: Bacteria
Description: partial 16S ribosomal RNA
Rfam family: Bacterial small subunit ribosomal RNA
Source: RNAcentral
GAUGAACGCUGGCGGCGUGCUUAACACGUGCAAGUCGAACGAAGCAUUUGCGACAGAUUUUUUCGGAAUGAAGUUGCUUAUGACUGAGUGGCGGACGGGUGAGUAACGCGUGGGUAACCUGCCUUGUACUGGGGGAUAGCAGCUGGAAACGGCUGGUAAUACCGCAUAAGCGCACAAUGUUGCAUGACAUGGUGUGAAAAACUCCGGUGGUAUAAGAUGGACCCGCGUCUGAUUAGCUAGUUGGUGAGAUAACAGCCCACCAAGGCGACGAUCAGUAGCCGACCUGAGAGGGUGGCCGGCCACAUUGGGACUGAGACACGGCCCAGACUCCUACGGGAGGCAGCAGUGGGGAAUAUUGCACAAUGGAGGAAACUCUGAUGCAGCGACGCCGCGUGAGUGAAGAAGUAAUUCGUUAUGUAAAGCUCUAUCAGCAGGGAAGAUAGUGACGGUACCUGACUAAGAAGCUCCGGCUAAAUACGUG